Drosophila bipectinata is the source of this 311-nucleotide non-coding RNA. The record is from RefSeq and is a predicted model, not a curated record. NCBI's taxonomy places the organism in Eukaryota, Metazoa, Arthropoda, Insecta, Diptera, Drosophilidae.
CCCACCUGAAACCUGACUUGUGGGUCCUGUUCCGGCUCAAGUCCCGCUGAGGACUUUGUGGAAUUCGCAGGAAAAUGCGACAGAGGGAAAACUUAUUCACAAAGGAAAAGAGACAGGAAUCUUCUUCAUUGUACAAAAUUUUAUUGAAAAAUUCCUUCAUAGAGAAAUGAAGUUACAAAAGCAAGGAAUCGUGUCCAAUCUCACAAUAAUAAUAUUUCAUCGAAAACCAAAAUCACAAACUAUGAAACGGAAUGGAAGUAAGCAAUUUAAAGUUCAUUGAGAAAACUCAGUAUCAAGCAAGUAACAAGGCG